Molecule: ribosomal RNA, 484 nt
Filed under: uncultured bacterium
Lineage: Bacteria
Description: partial 16S ribosomal RNA
Rfam family: Bacterial small subunit ribosomal RNA
Source: RNAcentral
AUUGAACGCUGGCGGCAGGCCUAACACAUGCAAGUCGAGCGGAUGAAGGGAGCUUGCUCCUUGAUUCAGCGGCGGACGGGUGAGUAAUGCCUAGGAAUCUUCCUGUUAGUGGGGGAUAACGUCCGGAAACGUGCGCUAAUACCGCAUACGUCCUGAGGGAGAAAGUGGGGGAUCUUCGGACCUCACGCUAUCAGAUGAGCCUAGGUCGGAUUAGCUAGUUGGUGGGGUAAAGGCCUACCAAGGCGACGAUCCGUAACUGGUCUGAGAGGAUGAUCAGGCACACUGGAACUGAGACACGGUCCAGACUCCUAGGGGAGGUAGCAGUGGGGAAUAUUGGAAAAUGGGCGAAAGCCUGAACCAGCCAUGCCGCGUGUGUGAAGAAGGUCUUCGGAUUGUAAAGCACUUUAAGUGGGGAGGAAGGGCAGUAAGUUAAUACCUUGCUGUUGUGACGGUACCAACAGAAUAAGCACCGGCUAACUUCGUG